Molecule: long non-coding RNA, 2122 nt
Filed under: Homo sapiens (human)
Lineage: Eukaryota; Metazoa; Chordata; Mammalia; Primates; Hominidae
Description: HSALNT0210057
Source: RNAcentral
CUUAUAUGAAAUUUUUCUUUUAACAGAUGGUGUCAUAAAUGGGAUCCAGGGUAGAGCUUUAACGACCCCCCAGCAGUGAUGAGUAAACAAGCAAGGUACCAGCAAUGACACACUUGUGUCCAUUGAUCUCUAAGAGCAGCUGGGGAUUGUGGGUAAAGAAAGCUUUUUAUGAUUUACUGAAGAUAAUCAAUGCCUUCACAAUCUGGAACCCAAAGAUUGGAUCUUCUAAGAACAUCAGAGAAAGAAUCUAGAACCUAAAGAUUGGAUCUUCUGAGAACACCAGAGAAAGACUGACCUUGCUCUCCACACUGCAAUAAAACUUUGUGAUCUUGAACCUUAGGUUCAUAAUCUCACAAAUGAGAAGGCUCCCUCCACACUCUUGGAACUGUACACCCACUGAAACCCUUAAGAUCAAAAGAAACUGCCUCUGUGCAGUUGAAGACUAAAUCAAUUUUUCAGCCAUAAAUGAGCAUGCUAACAAAGAUCUUGGAAUUUGUAUUUAUGGUAAAAUGCUUUACAUGCAUUCUCAUUGAGGCAUAUGAGAUUCUUAAAUUUAAUUUUUGUUCUUGUUCCUGCCUCAAAUCCACCAAUGACUUUUCAUUGACGUUAGAAUGAACAUUAAACUCUGUAACAAAACCAUGUGGUCCCUGUUGAUGUAUUCAGCCUUAUCUGAAACCCUACUCUUUCUCUACAACAGUGAUCUUCUUUCAGUGUUUUAUGUAUACUAUUAAUUUCCUUCCAAUUUCAAAUUCUUUGCCUAUGCUAAGAAUUUCUUUCCUUUUCCUCUUCAUUUACCUGGUCUGCAAAUCUCACCCUGAAAGUCACUUCCUCUAGAAAGAAUUCUCUGUCCUCCCCCACAGUCCUCUCUCCACCUAGAUAAAUUGCCAUGUCAUCCACACUCGAUUCUUAUUCAUUACCUUGUCUUUCAUAGCAUUUGUUUCUAUUAAAAUUAAAUCCUUAUUUAUAUAAUUAUGUGUUAAUGUCUAUUCUCUUGAAAGGUUAUAAGUCUUUUUCACUGCUGUAUUUUAGUCCCAGGUACAGACAUGGAACAUAUGAUUUGCUCAAUUUGUAUGUACUGAAUGAAUAAAGAAGGAAAUUUUUACAAAUGAUAAAGGUAAGUACUGGAGAAAUUAGGUAAAGCACCAAAGCUCAAACAGAUCACCUGUGGCAAAGCCAGCUUCUGCAUCUGAGUUUAUCUGAUGCUAAGGUUUCUACUAAACAUUUUAUUUCUUGCUUGUGAGAAUAAUUGAUUUCUUGGACAAGUUCAAUGUUGCUAUAAUUGAGACAAGUAUAAAAUAGAGAACCUCACAGUCCGACAAAAGUGAAGCUAUACCUGCAUGAUUGCACCGUUGAGAAUUCACUAUGACCUAGACAAAGGGUAGGUAUAACCACUGCUACAUGUAACUUAUCUCUGUGCAGAACUGUUAUGAAAUCAUUUCAAAUCAAAAGUUGGGUACAUAUCUAUAUAGAGAAAACAGAUAUCUUAUUAAUUGAGUGAAAGGUGCACUCUUGACAAAAUUAAGGGAGAACAAAUAAUAAGUUAAAAUAUUAAUUUCCUAAUUUUUCAAAGAGAAAUAAACAAGGUUAAACAUAUUGAGGGAGAAAAGCAGUUUUCUAUAAAUACAUAUUUAUGGAUAAAUGUUUUAUGUAAUUUGGUAAGAAAUCAUGCCUAGAAAUAUACAAUUUCAGGAUAAUGUUUGUUUUUUUAAUAUAUAUUUUUUAUUAUACUUUAAGUUCUAGGGUACAUGUGCACAAUGUGCAGGUUUGUUACAUAUGUAUACAUGUGCCAUGUUGGUGUGCUGCACACAUUAACUCAUCAUUUACAUUACGUAUAUCUCCUAAUGCUACCCCUCCCCCCUCCCCCACCCCACAACCAGCCCUGGUGUGUGGUGUGUGAUGUUCCCCUUCCUGAGUCCAGUGUUCUCAUUGUUCAAUUCCCACCUAUGAGUGAGAACAUACCUUUUGUAUUUUGCAUAUAUCAUAAAUAAAAAUAAUUAAAAGGCAUGAGACUAGUGAACUCAAUAUGAUAAUAGGACAGACAAACUUAUUAGGAGUGCCAAAUUGCAGCUUAAAAUGUUUCUGUUAAAAAAGUAGUUGAAUGUUUGCCAUUUCAUUUCAUUAG